UUUAAGCAUUUUUAUAAUUUGGUUGUGUACUCUCUUAAUUUGGUUUUGUUCUGAAAAUUUUUUAAUAGAUUAAAUGUUAUAUGGGUUGAUGAAAAAGCUAAGAGUAGUCGCAAAAGUUACUAGUUUUAAUAAAACACUUUUGUUUCCUCUUUUUUUUCUUCUGUUACUGGGAUUUCCCCCAUCCUGGGUAUGGUGGUACAUGCCUGUAAUCCCAGCGACCCUAGAAGCUAAAGCAGGAAGAUCUCAAGGUCAUGACCCACAUGGGCAAUUUAGUGAAACUCUAUCUCAGUGUAAAUAAAAGUAAAAAGAAUUAGGGAUGUAGCUAACACCUUCUAGGUUCAAUUCCCAUUAUCACAAAACAUACAACAGAAUCUGUUUGUAGGACUCUGUGAUGAAUUGUUUUCCACAUAACAAGGAAAGACAACUACAAAACGAGGACAAUGACCUGACUUAAUAUUUACUAUAUAGAAGUGUCAAAUCCAUAGAAAUUGAGACUAAUGGCAGUGGAGACCAACUUUAUGAGCAAGUUAAAAGACACAUGCAGAAAAGUAGUAUUUACAGUUAUAGAUGGGUGGAGGUCAAGCUAAUUUGUUCAGAAUAACUAAAGCGGGGGCUAGGGAUUUAGCUCAGCGACAUAAGCGUCUGCCUUGCAAGCAGGCAGUUGUGAGUUCAAUCCCUGGUACCGAUAAAAAGGAAAAAGACAAAAAAACCCAGAAUAACUAAAGCCUAAAAUUUAGUGUACAGAGCUGAGAUAAAAAGAAAUAGCACUUGAAAGCAAGCAAGGUGGUUGAAAAUAAUAGAAUUGGAAAAAAAUAUAGCCAAUUUAUCGAGAAUGUCCACAUUUUCUUUGGUUUUUAGUUUUUUAUUAUUCCUCUCUGUAAAAACAUAAUACUUUGUUAAACAUUUUACAUCCAAUAUGUUGCCAAACUCAAGACCAUGACCAUACAGGCAGUCGUGAGUUUGAUCCCCGGUACCAAUAAAAAAGAAAAAAGACCAAAAAAACCAUUUUGUGAUCAUAUAUAGAGCUGCUGAGGCUCACCCAUGCCUUUGCUGUCUUGAGGUUUUAUUUGGAUUUGAUUAUGUAAUGUCUACAACUGACCUAUACUCUCUGGUCCACCAGAGGUCAGAACUGAUACAGCUCUUAUUACAAAUGACAUUGGUAGUCAGGUCUGCAAUAGUUAGGUCUGUAAUCCCAGUAUGUGAGAGGCUGAGGCAGGAGAAUAGCCUUCAGUUUGAGGCCAGCCUGAUGUACAUAGCAAGACCCUGUCUUCAAAAAAAAAAGUUUUAAUAAAUGACAUUGUUAGUUUGUGCAGCGACCUAAACUUCUUACGCAAUCAGAUGGAAAUCGCAGUCUCCCUAUACACCAACAGUAUCUUCCUCUAAAGGCCUCCUGAAGGUCAGUGACAAUGUAGCAUGGCUCUUCCAUGAUGCUCUUAAUACCCGUCACCUAAUAAAUACAAAAAACUUGUCAGCUCAUUUUAUUCCCUUUGGAAAACAAAAGUCUGUUACCUAAAAUCUGUGCAGUUUUUUCCUGAGGAUACUUCAAAUAGGUUCUUAUAUACUAAGGUUUUAAUCCUAACUGAAACUCUGUGUGUCAUGAACAUGUUUUGCUUUUUCACAGAUUGGUUCAAUUAAUAUAAAUUCCCUUGGUUUUAUGUUUUUUGUUUUGUCUUUUUUUUUUUUUUUUUUUUUGUGCCAUGGAUCGAACUUACAACUUUGUGCUUGCCAGGCAGAUGCUUAUACCACUGAGCUAAAUCCCUGGCCUUGUAUUUUGUCUUUUUGAUACAGGGUUUUGCUGUAUAGUUCAGCCUGGCUUUAACCUUACAAAGAUCCUUUUGCCUCAGUCCUCUGAGUGCUGGGAUUUUAGGUGUGCACUACCAUACCCAACCAAUUCCCGGAUUUGAAACACUCUAUUAUAAUUGCUGUUCCUGUGAUGCAGAUUAAUAAAUUAAAAAAAGAGAGACUGGUUUUGGAGAUGGACUUAGUUAAAAAAUUAUACAAAAUUGCCAACCAUGGUGGUACAUAGCUGAAAUCCUAGCCCUCAGCAGGCUGAGGCAGGAGAAUUACCACAUAUUUGAAGCCAACUUGGGCUGUAUAACAAGGCCUUGUUUGAAAAAAUAAAACAAAAAUACAAUAUUAAUAUGAAGAUAGCCCCAAAUUUUAUUUUAGCGUUACUGUUUAAUGUAGGACUUUUUGGGGGGUGGGGGUGCUGGGAAUAAAACUCAGAACUUUGCACUUGCCAGGCUAGCAUUGUGUGGCUGAGCUAUAUCCCCAACCCCGCUAAUGUAAAACUUUAUAUUAACAAGUCAUCAUUAUGUUUGUUUUGGAACUUGGGAUUCAACCCAGGAAAUUGAACUGAGAUCCUAGAGAAUUGAUUCUAGUGAUCAUAUUAAAGGGGAAAAAUAGAAAAUAAAUAUUGAAGGGAAGGAAAUAAGUUGGAGGAAAAAAAUUAGGAGACUGGAGAUAUAAUUAAAUAGAGCACCUGUCUAGCAUAUGCAAGGUCCUAAGCUUAAUCUGCAGAAUGGAUUGAUAGAUGUCAGUAGAAGGAAGGAGGAAAGAGAAAGAAAAGAGGAAAAAUAGGAUGAAACUUCAGAUGUGGUCAGUUAAGAAAUGUCAGGCAAUAGCCAGGUUAGGUGGUACACAUCUGUAAUCCCAGAGUCUGGGAGUCUGAGGCAAGAGGAUCACAACUUCAAGUUCUGCUUGGGGAAGUUGGUGAAACUCUAUCUCAAAAUAAAAAAUAAUAAGGGCCAGGGAUAUAGCUCACUGCAGAGUCCCUAAGUUCAGUCCUCAGUGCCACUAAAAAUAAUACAAAAAUCUAGCAUACAGGUAAGUCAGAAGAUGAUAUACAAUAUUUUAAGUAACCUAGAGGAUAUAUAGUAGAAAAGGUCAUUUAAACAUAACUACACAGCUGGGCAUGGUGACACACAUCUGUAAUCCCAGCACUCAGAAGACUGACUCAGGAGGAUCACCUUGAGUUCAAGGCCAGCCUAGGCUACAAAAUGAGUUCAAAGGUAGCCUGAACUACAUAGGGAGAGCCUGCCUCCAAACAAAGAGAUGACUCUAUAUAUUACAGUUAUGAUUAAUUUUAAUAGAUAAUCCAAACUAAAUCAAAAUAGGCUUUUACCUGGGCAUGGUGGCAUAUACCUGCAAGCUGAGCACUGGAGAGACUGAGGCAGGAGGAUCACUUUGAGUUUGUGGCCAGCCUGGUCUACAUAGUGAUUUCAGUGCCACCUUGAAAUAUAUAGCAAAACCUUGUUUAAAAACAAAAGAAUGGGGAGAAAAGGUUUUAAAAAGCUUUCAAGUGGAAGUUGGGUAAAUAUACUAUGAAACAAAGAAGUGUUUUGAUCAAAUAUGGAUGUAAUUUAAAACAUGAAUUCUAUUACCAGUUACUGAAAGACAAGGCUUCCUUUUAAUUCAGAAGAACAAUUUCAGUUGUAGAGUUUGUCAGAUAACUCGAAGAAUAAAGAAUAUUUUACAAGCUAUCUAUUCAGCCAUCUUCUUCACUCUAGGUAGAUUGCUUCUGUGAUAUAGUAGUAGUGUUUAAAUAGUAGAGUAAAAAUGAGGGUGGACAGUACAAAAACCCUAUUUCUAAGAAGUUCGUAUCAUUCAAGUAUGUUUUUGAUGACCAUAUGUAUUUCAGAUUCUCCCCUGUGAAGGCAUAUAUACUUCUACAUGUUCUUUCACUUGAUUUAAAAGUAUAUAUGGUUAUUUUUUGUCUUUUUUUUUUUACACUAAUUUGGAGCAAUUUCAGAGAAUGUUUUAAAAUGACUGAAAAACAAAUUAAGCCAAGCAUGGUGGUACACCUUGUAAUCCCAGCAAUUGGGAGGCUGAGGCUAGACAAUCAUUGAGUUUGAAGCCAGCCUAAUCUAGAUGGCAAGACCCUGUUUCAACAAACAAAACAUUUAAGUGCUCAGAAAUUGAAACUGUGGCACUGGCCUUAUUUGUCCCAUGUUUUAUUCAAUUGAGUCAAUCAAUUAUAAUCUAAAAUAAGAAAUAUUCUUAGACUCAUCUCACCUUGAGCUGUCUGCUUAGGCUCCUGCAUGCAAGAUAACUGGUGAAAUGGAUAAUCACUACCUCUUGCUAUUCCUUUCUAUUACUAUAAUCUAAGGAAGAAGAAGAAGUUAGUAUGUGAUUAAUGUUAGUUUCCAAGAAGAUGCAGUCUUCUUGAGUAAGUGCUGGUGAGGCAUUUAUGAACUGUGCCCUUUUCUAAGACUACCUUUGCCACUAUUCUAACUAAAAAUAUCUUUGAUUCAUUGGAGUUUGGAUACACUGAACCCUGUUUGACUUUAAAUGGAGAAAGUGGUUAGGAAGGUACAAAUGGCAUUUUGAAGUUCAUCUUAUCUUGAAGUAGUACAAAACAUUUGCUAUCUGACUGUGCUUUGUGGGUAGCUUGGUUACUUCCCUCUACUGGGACAAAAUUCCUGACACCCAAAAUAAAAGGAGAAAAGAUUUAUUUUGACUCACAGUUUGUAAAGGUUUCAGUAUAUGGUUGACUGGCCCCAAGGCAGUACUGUGUCACAGAGGAGAAACAGUCUGUGACAGGGCAGACAGGCAGCGAAAAAGCAGCAACAGCAGACUUGCAUUCUUUCUGUCCCUUUAUAUUCUGUCCAGGCUACAAACUUAUUGUUGCCACCUGUACCUACCAUGGGGCUUCCUUUAUCCACACCUUUCAUCUACGUUUACAUACCCUAAUCCAGCUACCUUUGAAACUACUGACAUAUGACCACCUGAGGCUUUGGAGAAGGAGGCAUCUAGAUACAGGCCAUUACAGUGGACAUACGUGUUUUCUUCAUAAUUUACUCUUUUAUGUGUAAGACUAUUUUAAGCCAGGCAUGGUGGUGCACGCCUGUAAUUCCAGCACUUGGGAAUCUAAAUCAGGAGGAACGUUGAGAAUUUGAGACGAAUCUGGGCUCAAUGACAGCCUGAACUGCAUAGCGAGACCCUGUCUCAGAAAGACCAAAAACUAUUCUUAACAGAGGAUAUAAGUAAAGGACAAAAAUAGCCUGGAUCUUCAUGUAACUUAAAUUCUUGUAAUUAAAAAAGGACAAAAAGAAAA
This is a long non-coding RNA of Cavia porcellus (domestic guinea pig), 5056 nucleotides long. RefSeq lists it as uncharacterized. The transcript is spliced from 2 exons. The record is from RefSeq and is a predicted model, not a curated record. NCBI's taxonomy places the organism in Eukaryota, Metazoa, Chordata, Mammalia, Rodentia, Caviidae.